UGUCUGCGUCAUCAUGAGUCGCCAGUCAGAGCUGUCUGUUUGGGUAAACCUUGCGGCUGGUGUUGGGUUGACGUGUUUCCUCGCGGCAGGAGCUGAGUGCCGAAGGCGGGGUGGAUUGUGGUGGUGGUAUUGCUUCACGAGUGCUGUGCUGUGUGCAGUGGUGUGUGUGAGUGUCUACACAGGUGCAACCAAAAGUUGUGUGGUGCUGUGGAGGCCGAUUAGUGCCCUUGAUCCCCGUUGUUACGCCUUGGCUUCUGCAUCCACAUCUAUAAAGGUGUCUGAGGAUUUAAGUUAUCUGUGUUAUGGUUGAGUAAUUCCUGUUUUUUUGGUUUUUCAUUAGGUGCAUCCGAUACUUUUAUCGUUAAUAAAAAUCCAUACUAAUUUUA
Long non-coding RNA from Silurus meridionalis, 386 nucleotides. RefSeq lists it as uncharacterized. Lineage: Eukaryota; Metazoa; Chordata; Actinopteri; Siluriformes; Siluridae. The record is from RefSeq and is a predicted model, not a curated record. The transcript is spliced from 2 exons.